RNAcentral lists this non-coding RNA (30 nucleotides) under Homo sapiens (human). The record is from RNAcentral. Lineage: Eukaryota; Metazoa; Chordata; Mammalia; Primates; Hominidae.
UCCCAAGGUGCUGGGAUUGCAAGCAUGAGC